CUUGGAAACAGAAUUUGACGUUAGCUACAAGGAGCUCUCAACAGAAAUAAUAGCAUCAACGUUAUCGAAAGGAGGUUAUAGGUGAAGUUCCACAUGAGAAUUAAUGUAUAACACCUUUUCCAGUUGCAUAAUACUAACUAAAUUUGUAAAAAAAAAUGUUUAAGUAUUGUUAGAUGCAUGUUAUCUUAGUUGUCUUCUGGGAUUUAUCUCAUAAAGCAUCAAAUUUACCCUCUCUAUUUAAUGCAAAUAAUUGGUCCAUCAUAGGAAUCCAUCGGUUAAAUUUUACAAAAACAAAGAAAAAAAACUAAUGAUGGCAUGAUAGAAGAUGCAAGUCAUAUUAACUGUUGUAUGAGAAUACUUGCCAUCACAAUAGAAAGAAACCAUUUCUCAGUGGUCUAGAAGGUGUAUUCAUCACUGGAGGAUCUAAAAAUGAGCACCUCAUGCAUAGCAAAGGGUUGCUUUGGCAUGUGAUUACAAAUCAAGGCCAUUAAAAUCUUCUAGCAUCCCCCC
Molecule: long non-coding RNA, 510 nt
Filed under: Elaeis guineensis (African oil palm)
Lineage: Eukaryota; Viridiplantae; Streptophyta; Magnoliopsida; Arecales; Arecaceae
Description: long non-coding RNA (EGUI_LNC017488)
Source: RNAcentral